RNAcentral lists this ribosomal RNA (467 nucleotides) under uncultured bacterium. RNAcentral describes it as "partial 16S ribosomal RNA". It matches the Rfam family "Bacterial small subunit ribosomal RNA", at positions 28 to 507 of the family's 1533-position model. The record is from RNAcentral.
GACGAACGCUGGCGGCGUGCUUAACACAUGCAAGUCGAACGAUGACGCCCGAGCUUGCCUGGUCUGAUUAGUGGCGAACGGGUGAGUAACACGUGAGCAACCCGCCCUUCACUCUGGGAUAACCCUGGGAAAUCGGGGCUAAUAUCGGAUAUGAGCUUCUGACCCACGGGGGGCGUUGGAGAGUUGUUCGGUGGCGGAUAGGCAUGCGGGUUAUCGGGUUGUUUGUGAGGGAGUGGAAGACCAAGGCGUUGCCGGGUAGCCGGCCUGAGAGGGCGGCCGGGCACACUGGGACUGAGAGACGGCGCAGACGCCUACGGGAGGCAGCAGGCGGGAAUAUUGCACAAUGGGCGAGAGCCUGAUGCGGCGACGCCGCGUGAGGGAUGACGGCCUUCGAGUUGUAAACCUCUGUCAGAAGAGAAGAAGCGAAAGUGACGGUACCUGCAGAAGAAGCGCCGGCUAACUACGUG